GGUUAAGCGACUAAGCGUACACGGUGGAUGCCCUGGCAGUCAGAGGCGAUGAAGGACGUGCUAAUCUGCGAUAAGCGUCGGUAAGGUGAUAUGAACCGUUAUAACCGGCGAUUUCCGAAUGGGGAAACCCAGUGUGUUUCGACACACUAUCAUUAACUGAAUCCAUAGGUUAAUGAGGCGAACCGGGGGAACUGAAACAUCUAAGUACCCCGAGGAAAAGAAAUCAACCGAGAUUCCCCCAGUAGCGGCGAGCGAACGGGGAGCAGCCCAGAGUCUGAAUCAGUGUGUGUGUUAGUGGAAGCGUCUGGAAAGGCGCGCGAUACAGGGUGACAGCCCCGUACACAAAAAUGCACAUGCUGUGAGCUCGAUGAGUAGGGCGGGACACGUGGUAUCCUGUCUGAAUAUGGGGGGACCAUCCUCCAAGGCUAAAUACUCCUGACUGACCGAUAGUGAACCAGUACCGUGAGGGAAAGGCGAAAAGAACCCCGGCGAGGGGAGUGAAAAAGAACCUGAAACCGUGUACGUACAAGCAGUGGGAGCACGCUUAGGCGUGUGACUGCGUACCUUUUGUAUAAUGGGUCAGCGACUUAUAUUCUGUAGCAAGGUUAACCGAAUAGGGGAGCCGAAGGGAAACCGAGUCUUAACUGGGCGUUAAGUUGCAGGGUAUAGACCCGAAACCCGGUGAUCUAGCCAUGGGCAGGUUGAAGGUUGGGUAACACUAACUGGAGGACCGAACCGACUAAUGUUGAAAAAUUAGCGGAUGACUUGUGGCUGGGGGUGAAAGGCCAAUCAAACCGGGAGAUAGCUGGUUCUCCCCGAAAGCUAUUUAGGUAGCGCCUCGUGAAUUCAUCUCCGGGGGUAGAGCACUGUUUCGGCAAGGGGGUCAUCCCGACUUACCAACCCGAUGCAAACUGCGAAUACCGGAGAAUGUUAUCACGGGAGACACACGGCGGGUGCUAACGUCCGUCGUGAAGAGGGAAACAACCCAGACCGCCAGCUAAGGUCCCAAAGUCAUGGUUAAGUGGGAAACGAUGUGGGAAGGCCCAGACAGCCAGGAUGUUGGCUUAGAAGCAGCCAUCAUUUAAAGAAAGCGUAAUAGCUCACUGGUCGAGUCGGCCUGCGCGGAAGAUGUAACGGGGCUAAACCAUGCACCGAAGCUGCGGCAGCGACACUGUGUGUUGUUGGGUAGGGGAGCGUUCUGUAAGCCUGUGAAGGUGUACUGUGAGGUAUGCUGGAGGUAUCAGAAGUGCGAAUGCUGACAUAAGUAACGAUAAAGCGGGUGAAAAGCCCGCUCGCCGGAAGACCAAGGGUUCCUGUCCAACGUUAAUCGGGGCAGGGUGAGUCGACCCCUAAGGCGAGGCCGAAAGGCGUAGUCGAUGGGAAACAGGUUAAUAUUCCUGUACUUGGUGUUACUGCGAAGGGGGGACGGAGAAGGCUAUGUUGGCCGGGCGACGGUUGUCCCGGUUUAAGCGUGUAGGCUGGUUUUCCAGGCAAAUCCGGAAAAUCAAGGCUGAGGCGUGAUGACGAGGCACUACGGUGCUGAAGCAACAAAUGCCCUGCUUCCAGGAAAAGCCUCUAAGCAUCAGGUAACAUCAAAUCGUACCCCAAACCGACACAGGUGGUCAGGUAGAGAAUACCAAGGCGCUUGAGAGAACUCGGGUGAAGGAACUAGGCAAAAUGGUGCCGUAACUUCGGGAGAAGGCACGCUGAUAUAUAGGUGAAGUCCCUCGCGGAUGGAGCUGAAAUCAGUCGAAGAUACCAGCUGGCUGCAACUGUUUAUUAAAAACACAGCACUGUGCAAACACGAAAGUGGACGUAUACGGUGUGACGCCUGCCCGGUGCCGGAAGGUUAAUUGAUGGGGUUAGCCGCAAGGCGAAGCUCUUGAUCGAAGCCCCGGUAAACGGCGGCCGUAACUAUAACGGUCCUAAGGUAGCGAAAUUCCUUGUCGGGUAAGUUCCGACCUGCACGAAUGGCGUAAUGAUGGCCAGGCUGUCUCCACCCGAGACUCAGUGAAAUUGAACUCGCUGUGAAGAUGCAGUGUACCCGCGGCAAGACGGAAAGACCCCGUGAACCUUUACUAUAGCUUGACACUGAACAUUGAGCCUUGAUGUGUAGGAUAGGUGGGAGGCUUUGAAGUGUGGACGCCAGUCUGCAUGGAGCCGACCUUGAAAUACCACCCUUUAAUGUUUGAUGUUCUAACGUUGACCCGUGAUCCGGGUUGCGGACAGUGUCUGGUGGGUAGUUUGACUGGGGCGGUCUCCUCCUAAAGAGUAACGGAGGAGCACGAAGGUUGGCUAAUCCUGGUCGGACAUCAGGAGGUUAGUGCAAUGGCAUAAGCCAGCUUGACUGCGAGCGUGACGGCGCGAGCAGGUGCGAAAGCAGGUCAUAGUGAUCCGGUGGUUCUGAAUGGAAGGGCCAUCGCUCAACGGAUAAAAGGUACUCCGGGGAUAACAGGCUGAUACCGCCCAAGAGUUCAUAUCGACGGCGGUGUUUGGCACCUCGAUGUCGGCUCAUCACAUCCUGGGGCUGAAGUAGGUCCCAAGGGUAUGGCUGUUCGCCAUUUAAAGUGGUACGCGAGCUGGGUUUAGAACGUCGUGAGACAGUUCGGUCCCUAUCUGCCGUGGGCGCUGGAGAACUGAGGGGGGCUGCUCCUAGUACGAGAGGACCGGAGUGGACGCAUCACUGGUGUUCGGGUUGUCAUGCCAAUGGCACUGCCCGGUAGCUAAAUGCGGAAGAGAUAAGUGCUGAAAGCAUCUAAGCACGAAACUUGCCCCGAGAUGAGUUCUCCCUGACUCCUUGAGAGUCCUGAAGGAACGUUGAAGACGACGACGUUGAUAGGCCGGGUGUGUAAGCGCAGCGAUGCGUUGAGCUAACCGGUACUAAUGAACCGUGAGGCUUAACCUU
RNAcentral lists this ribosomal RNA (2905 nucleotides) under Escherichia coli. RNAcentral's name for it is "23S ribosomal RNA". It matches the Rfam family "Bacterial large subunit ribosomal RNA". The record is from RNAcentral. Lineage: Bacteria; Pseudomonadati; Pseudomonadota; Gammaproteobacteria; Enterobacterales; Enterobacteriaceae.